GACGAACGCUGGCGGCGUGCUUAACACAUGCAAGUCGAGCGGUAAGGCCCUUUCGGGGGUACACGAGCGGCGAACGGGUGAGUAACACGUGGGUAACCUGCCCCGAUGACCGGGACAACCCGAGGAAACUCGGGCUAAUACCGGAUGUGAUGUCCACACACAAGUGUGUCCAUCAAAGGAAGCUUCGGCCUCCACAUCGGGAUGGGCCCGCGGCCCAUUAGCUAGUUGGUGGGGUAAAGGCCUACCAAGGCAACGAUGGGUAGCUGGUCUGAGAGGACGAUCAGCCACACUGGGACUGAGACACGGCCCAGACUCCUACGGGAGGCAGCAGUGGGGAAUCUUGCGCAAUGGGCGAAAGCCUGACGCAGCGACGCCGCGUGAGGGAUGACGGCCU
RNAcentral lists this ribosomal RNA (394 nucleotides) under uncultured bacterium. RNAcentral describes it as "bacterial SSU rRNA". It matches the Rfam family "Bacterial small subunit ribosomal RNA", at positions 28 to 417 of the family's 1533-position model. The record is from RNAcentral.